UACUCACAUUAAUUUGCAAGAAAUGACUAUUCAUCAGGUAAGCAGUUUAGACUCCUAUCCUGAGUACUUUUUUUGUCAUUGAUUUUAUGUUCUGUAUUUAGAAAAUUAGAGCUAACAGAGUUUUCAGCAUAGUAUUCUUUUCAUUGUCAACAUUAGUAAAGUCUGUUCCUUCAUCUUAGACGAGCUUUAGCUUACCUUCGCU
Molecule: long non-coding RNA, 202 nt
Filed under: Daucus carota (carrot)
Lineage: Eukaryota; Viridiplantae; Streptophyta; Magnoliopsida; Apiales; Apiaceae
Description: long non-coding RNA (DCAR_LNC006734)
Source: RNAcentral